CCUACGGGCGGCAGCAGUGGGGAAUAUUGGUCAAUGGGGGGAACCCUGAACCAGCGAAGCCGCGUGAGUGAAGACGUAUCUCGGUAUUUAAAGCUUUAUCUGCAGGGGAGAAAAUGACGGUACGUGUCUAAUUAGCCCCGGCUAACUACGUGCCAGCAGCCGCGGGAAUACGUCGGGGGCAAGCGUUAUCCGGAUUUACUGGGUGUAAAGGGGGCGUAGACGGUGCAGCAAGUCUGAUGUGAAGGUCGGGGGCCAACCCUGGGACUGCAUUGGAAACUGUUUUACUUGAGUAAAGGAGAGGUAAGCGGAAUUCGUAGUGUAGCGGUGAAAUGCAUAGAUAUCAGGAAGAACACCAGUGGCGAAGGCAGCUUACUGGACUGUAACUGACGUUGAGGCUCGAAAGUGUGGGUAGCGAACAGGAUUAGAUACCCCAGUAGUC
This 439-nucleotide ribosomal RNA is filed under the name uncultured bacterium. RNAcentral's name for it is "partial 16S ribosomal RNA". It matches the Rfam family "Bacterial small subunit ribosomal RNA", at positions 338 to 795 of the family's 1533-position model. The record is from RNAcentral.